UACGUAGGGGGCAAGCGUUGUCCGGAUUUAUUGGGCGUAAAGAGCGUGUAGGUGGCCAUACAGGUCCGUUGUGAAAACUGGAGGCUUAACCUCCAGACGUCGAUGGAAACCGUAUGGCUAGAGUCCGGAAGAGGAGAGUGGAAUUCCUGGUGUAGCGGUGAAAUGCGCAGAUAUCAGGAAGAACACCGAUGGCGAAGGCAAUCCCCUGGGCCUGUACUGACGCUCAUGCACGAAAGCGUGGGGAGCAAACAGG
Molecule: ribosomal RNA, 253 nt
Filed under: uncultured bacterium
Lineage: Bacteria
Description: partial 16S ribosomal RNA
Rfam family: Bacterial small subunit ribosomal RNA
Source: RNAcentral